GCGGGCGUGCUGAAAUUGGUAGACAGGCUACCUUGAGGAGGUAGUGGCCUUUUGGCCGUGGAGGUUCAAGUCCUCUCGCCCGCACCA
RNAcentral lists this transfer RNA (87 nucleotides) under Patescibacteria group bacterium. Its description in RNAcentral is "tRNA-Leu". It matches the Rfam family "tRNA". From Rfam's summary of the family: Transfer RNA (tRNA) molecules are approximately 80 nucleotides in length. Their secondary structure includes four short double-helical elements and three loops (D, anti-codon, and T loops). Further hydrogen bonds mediate the characteristic L-shaped molecular structure. tRNAs have two regions of fundamental functional importance: the anti-codon, which is responsible for specific mRNA codon recognition, and the 3' end, to which the tRNAs corresponding amino acid is attached (by aminoacyl-tRNA synthetases). tRNAs cope with the degeneracy of the genetic code in two manners: having more than one tRNA (with a specific anti-codon) for a particular amino acid; and 'wobble' base-pairing, i.e. permitting non-standard base-pairing at the 3rd anti-codon position. RNAcentral also lists the same sequence under 1 other name. The record is from RNAcentral.